RNAcentral lists this ribosomal RNA (475 nucleotides) under uncultured bacterium. RNAcentral describes it as "bacterial SSU rRNA". It matches the Rfam family "Bacterial small subunit ribosomal RNA", at positions 9 to 456 of the family's 1533-position model. The record is from RNAcentral.
GAGUUUGAACCUGGCUCAGGACGAACGCUGGCGGCGUGCCUAACACAUGCAAGUCGAACGGAGAUACGCGCUGAAUGGAUGGAGCUUGCUUUUGAAAUUCUUGUGUAUCUUAGUGGCGGACGGGUGAGUAACGCGUGAGCAACCUGCCUUUCAGAGGGGGAUAACGUUUGGAAACGAACGCUAAUACCGCAUGAGACCACAGUACUGCAUAGUACAGUGGCCAAAGGAGCAAUCCGCUGAAAGAUGGGCUCGCGUCCGAUUAGAUAGUUGGCGGGGUAACGGCCCACCAAGUCGACGAUCGGUAGCCGGACUGAGAGGUUGAACGGCCACAUUGGGACUGAGACACGGCCCAGACUCCUACGGGAGGCAGCAGUGAGGGAUAUUGGUCAAUGGGGGAAACCCUGAACCAGCAACGCCGCGUGAGGGAAGACGGUUUUCGGAUUGUAAACCUCUGUCCUCUGUGAAGAUAAUGACG